AAAUUGAAGAGUUUGAUCAUGGCUCAGAUUGAACGCUGGCGGCAGGCCUAACACAUGCAAGUCGAACGGUAACAGAAAGCAGCUUGCUGCUUUGCUGACGAGUGGCGGACGGGUGAGUAAUGUCUGGGAAACUGCCUGAUGGAGGGGGAUAACUACUGGAAACGGUAGCUAAUACCGCAUAACGUCGCAAGACCAAAGAGGGGGACCUUCGGGCCUCUUGCCAUCGGAUGUGCCCAGAUGGGAUUAGCUAGUAGGUGGGGUAACGGCUCACCUAGGCGACGAUCCCUAGCUGGUCUGAGAGGAUGACCAGCCACACUGGAACUGAGACACGGUCCAGACUCCUACGGGAGGCAGCAGUGGGGAAUAUUGCACAAUGGGCGCAAGCCUGAUGCAGCCAU
RNAcentral lists this ribosomal RNA (398 nucleotides) under Escherichia coli. RNAcentral's name for it is "bacterial SSU rRNA". It matches the Rfam family "Bacterial small subunit ribosomal RNA", at positions 1 to 395 of the family's 1533-position model. Lineage: Bacteria; Pseudomonadati; Pseudomonadota; Gammaproteobacteria; Enterobacterales; Enterobacteriaceae. The record is from RNAcentral.